This is a long non-coding RNA of Daphnia carinata, 1887 nucleotides long. RefSeq lists it as uncharacterized. The record is from RefSeq and is a predicted model, not a curated record. NCBI's taxonomy places the organism in Eukaryota, Metazoa, Arthropoda, Branchiopoda, Diplostraca, Daphniidae. The transcript has 4 exons.
UGGUGGGAAAGGCAGCGUGAGUGAAAGCUGACGGAUUGGAGCGCCCGUUUGCGGCUUGAAGAUGCCCGUGUUGUUGUUGGUCCCGCGGCGCAAUUUAGGCAUGAGAAAAGUUGAAUCGAUAACACGCAAAGGGGAUAAACGGAUCGAGUUACCUUGACUAUUGUCGAGUGAGAGAUGGAGCGGCGGUUUGUUCAGCGGUUGAAGAGCUUCGUGAGAGUCGUUCGUAACCAACGAGUUGGCUGAUAUGGAGAUACCACUGUCAGAGCCAUUGAACCCCGCAGCACUUCCGCCGGGCCUGCCGCUGAUGAUGUUAGAGAAAAGAGAUUGAGGGCGUCGCCUUGCGGACGCGUGGAACUCGAAUGGAACAGCGGACGAUGACGUGAUAGGAACGGUGGAGCGAGAAUCCACGGUGAUGAUGAUGAUGGUAAUUAUGGUGCGAAUCGACCGAGUGAAACAAAUGAUGCGUUUGCUGCAGCGAUCGCGAACGAUUCAAGAUCAACCGGCCGUCAAGGUCUUGGGCGGCAUCGUCCAGACUGCAAAUACUCGUUUGCAAACUGGAAAUGUUGGAACGUUGUAGCUGUAACGAGCUUCUGUCCGGCUCCGAAUGACCAGUCAUGUCAAUAUUUGGAUUGCUGUUCAUACUGGACGUCACCGCUUUUCUGGCUCGGAUGACGGCCUGCUGAAUUUUACGCACGAUCGGAUGAUUCACGGCUGAAUCAACUUCUUCUGGUGGGUUGUCCGGCUCAGAUGGCCACCAAUCGCUUCGUCCAUCGAAAAAUGAUGUCUCGUAAACAUACCGGAUUUUUACGGCCGAAGCCAUCCGCACGAAUGGAUUUUUCAAGAAUAUUCUUAACUCUUCGAAACCUGGAACACGGAAGCUUAAAAAAAAAAUUGCAUAAACGGAUGCUUGUUUACAACUUCGGAUGGAGGUCAAGAAGAACGUAAUGCGAAACUUACUGCGGACAGAUGAAUGAUGGAUGAGACGAGAGAAGGUGCUUGUCAAAGCUGCGGCUGCCGCCACGGCCGGGGGCACGACCCGUUAUGAUGGAGGAUGGAAGUAAAGCACGUUGGAACUUGUUCCCGCUGAUACCUGGCUCCUCAUGGGUGAAUCAUCGGGCUCCCCCCGUUCAACGAAGAAGCUCCGCCCACCCCUGACAGCAAACCGACGGGACCAGUCGAUGAGGUUGCGUACUCGUGGUACGAGAUGAAGGAGCGGAUAUCCGCUUCUCGGCACCACUGCUGGCAAGCGUGAUGAUGGAAUAAAGAGAGGAUCUGCCCAAGGCCUCGUAAGUAUAUUGCAUUAUUCCCGUCCGCCCCCGUUUUUACCAAUUGGACGAUAUGAAACGGAGAGAGGAACAAAGAGCGAGUUCUAGUCGGUUAGGCAUGUAGAAUAGAAUAAGGGCGACAGUAGCGAAAUGUAGUAUCACAGUUGUUGGAUCUAUUAUGAAAUUCCCUGUUGAGCUGUCUCGCUCUGACAACCAAGAGAAACACAAGAAAGAAAGAAAAAAUAUUUGCAGAUAUAAUUCUUUUUGUCUUUCAGCAAAUAGCAGCUUUCUUUGUUCUUUCACGUUUAUCUGUGCGUUUGUUUUAGGCGCUCUACUGAACACGAAUUAGAUCGUUUUGUAGCGAUUACUUCGUCAAUGCCUCUCGUUGCUAAUUUCACGAUGUAUUGCCGUGCCAGGAUUAUUUUUUUUUUUUACAUCUGUAGGAAGAAUCAAUCGCUCAAGAUUGCAAUGGCCUUUGUGAUGUAGCUUUUAUUAUUCUUAACGAUGGUGUUAAUCCCUUGACUUAUUUUAGGACCCGUCAAAUUCAAGAGGCCGUGAAUCAUAAAGGCUUAGUUGAUCUGGUGUGUACUCGAGUGAACGUGAAUACAACAGUCACGAUUUC